RNAcentral lists this ribosomal RNA (469 nucleotides) under uncultured bacterium. Its description in RNAcentral is "partial 16S ribosomal RNA". It matches the Rfam family "Bacterial small subunit ribosomal RNA", at positions 28 to 507 of the family's 1533-position model. The record is from RNAcentral.
GAUGAACGCUGGCGGCGUGCUUAACACAUGCAAGUCGAACGAUGAAGCUGGAGCUUGCUCUGGUGGAUUAGUGGCGUACGGGUGAGUAACACGUGAGCAACCUGCCCCUGACUCUGGGAUAACAGCCGGAAACGGCUGCUAAUACCGGAUAUGCACCAUGAACGCAUGUUCUGUGGUGGGAAAGAUUUUUCGGUUGGGGAUGGGCUCGCGGCCUAUCAGCUUGUUGGUGAGGUAAUGGCUCACCAAGGCGUCGACGGGUAGCCGGCCUGAGAGGGUGACCGGCCACACUGGGACUGAGACACGGCCCAGACUCCUACGGGAGGCAGCAGUGGGGAAUAUUGCACAAUGGGCGAAAGCCUGAUGCAGCAACGCCGCGUGAGGGAUGACGGCCUUCGGGUUGUAAACCUCUUUUAGCAGGGAAGAAGCGAGAGUGACGGUACCUGCAGAAAAAGCGCCGGCUAACUACGUG